This 448-nucleotide ribosomal RNA is filed under the name uncultured bacterium. Its description in RNAcentral is "bacterial SSU rRNA". It matches the Rfam family "Bacterial small subunit ribosomal RNA", at positions 330 to 794 of the family's 1533-position model. The record is from RNAcentral.
UCCAGACUCCUACGGGAGGCAGCAGUGGGGAAUAUUGCACAAUGGGGGGAACCCUGAUGCAGCGACGCCGCGUGGGUGAAGGAGCACCUCGGUAUGUAAAGCCCUAUCAGCAGGGAAGAACAAUGACGGUACCUGACUAAGAAGCACCGGCUAAAUACGUGCCAGCAGCCGCGGUAAUACGUAUGGUGCAAGCGUUAUCCGGAUUUACUGGGUGUAAAGGGAGCGCAGGCGGCGCGUUAAGCCUGGUGUGAAAGCCCGCGGCCCAACCGCGGGACUGCAUUGGGAACUGGCGCGCUGGAGUGCCGGAGGGGUAGGCGGAAUUCCUAGUGUAGCGGUGAAAUGCGUAGAUAUUAGGAGGAACACCAGUGGCGAAGGCGGCCUACUGGACGGUGACUGACGCUGAGGCUCGAAAGCGUGGGGAGCAAACAGGAUUAGAUACCCCCGUAAA